UGAGUAACACGUAUGCAACCUGCCUGCCACAGCCGGAUAAUCGGGAGAAAUUCCGUCUAAUACGGCAUAAUGCAUCGACGGGACAUCCUGUUGGUGCCAAAGGUUAAUUCCGGUGGCGGAUGGGCAUGCGUCGCAUUAGUUAGUUGGCGGUGUAACGGACCACCAAGACGACGAUGCGUAGGGGUUCUGAGAGGAAGGUCCCCCACACUGGUACUGAGACNCGGACCAGACUCCUACGGGAGGCAGCAG
RNAcentral lists this ribosomal RNA (249 nucleotides) under uncultured bacterium. RNAcentral's name for it is "partial 16S ribosomal RNA". It matches the Rfam family "Bacterial small subunit ribosomal RNA", at positions 107 to 354 of the family's 1533-position model. The record is from RNAcentral.